ACCUGGCUGGCUCAGUCAGUAGAGCAUAGGACUCUCAAUCUCAGAGUUGUGAGUUCAAGCCUCAUGUUGGGCA
RNAcentral lists this transfer RNA (73 nucleotides) under Felis catus (domestic cat). It matches the Rfam family "tRNA". From Rfam's summary of the family: Transfer RNA (tRNA) molecules are approximately 80 nucleotides in length. Their secondary structure includes four short double-helical elements and three loops (D, anti-codon, and T loops). RNAcentral also lists the same sequence under 5 other names. Lineage: Eukaryota; Metazoa; Chordata; Mammalia; Carnivora; Felidae. The record is from Rfam by way of RNAcentral.